GAGACCGAAGUGGACGCUGCAGUUUCCUUUCUUGAACAGCUGUGCUAAGUCACUUAGCGAAUGGCUGAGUGGAAACAGGAGUCGUACGUUCAAAGGUUACGCAGCAACACAUGUUCGAGGUCAAGUGCUGGUGACUAAAGCAGCUUUGUGAACCAAGUGAGCCACACAUUGGACCAGAAAGCAGAGAAACAUCCACAUGUUGAACAGAAAUCCUUGCAGGAAAGCUGAUCACAGAAAGCAGCUUAGUGUUCCUCCUUUAAGUUCUUGCAUUUUAAUGCUUUCAUAAAAAGAAUACUUUUCCCAUGCCAUGAACACAAUGGAGCAGAGCCCCAAGGGAUUUAAUACUUUGAAAUUAAAUUGUAAAAAAAAAAAAAAAAAAAAAA
Poeciliopsis prolifica (blackstripe livebearer) is the source of this 383-nucleotide long non-coding RNA. RefSeq lists it as uncharacterized. The record is from RefSeq and is a predicted model, not a curated record. The transcript is spliced from 4 exons. NCBI's taxonomy places the organism in Eukaryota, Metazoa, Chordata, Actinopteri, Cyprinodontiformes, Poeciliidae.